This is a non-coding RNA of Myotis lucifugus (little brown bat), 74 nucleotides long. The record is from Rfam. Lineage: Eukaryota; Metazoa; Chordata; Mammalia; Chiroptera; Vespertilionidae.
CCGGGGGUGGGGGGGUCCCUCAGCCCGGAUUGAGAGAGGGCGCGGACCAGGCCGAGGGACCCCACCAGUGCACG